Molecule: ribosomal RNA, 478 nt
Filed under: uncultured bacterium
Lineage: Bacteria
Description: bacterial SSU rRNA
Rfam family: Bacterial small subunit ribosomal RNA
Source: RNAcentral
GAGUUUGAUCCUGGCUCAGGAUAAACGCUGGCGGCGCACAUAAGACAUGCAAGUCGAACGAAGAUCGUUAUUAAAUGGAAUGAAGAUUUAUCGGUGUGAAGUUUAGUAACAAUGGUCUUAGUGGCGGACUGGUGAGUAACGCGUAAGGAACCUGCCUUUUAGAGGGGAAUAACAAUGAGAAAUCAUUGCUAAUACCGCAUAUGCCAUAGUUAUCACAUGAUAAUAGUGGGAAAGGAGCAAUUCGCUAAAAGAUGGCCUUGCGUCUGAUUAGAUAGUUGGUAAGGUAACGGCUUACCAAGUCGACGAUCAGUAGCCGGACUGAGAGGUUGAACGGCCACAUUGGGACUGAGAUACGGCCCAGACUCCUACGGGAGGCAGCAGUCGGGAAUAUUGCGCAAUGGAGGAAACUCUGACGCAGUGACGCCGCGUAAAGGGGAAGUUUUUCGGAAUGUAAACUAUUGUCGUUAGGGAAGAGAAA